Molecule: long non-coding RNA, 199 nt
Filed under: Panax ginseng (ginseng)
Lineage: Eukaryota; Viridiplantae; Streptophyta; Magnoliopsida; Apiales; Araliaceae
Description: long non-coding RNA (PGIN_LNC007218)
Source: RNAcentral
UAGAAUUUAUUAAGCUGGAGCAAAACAAUAUGACCGUGUCGCAGUACGAGGCUAAGUUUGCGGAGUUAUUCCGGUUUGCAUCCCAUUUGGUUGAUAAUGAGGAGCGAAUGACGCGAAUGUUUUUGCGAGGUUUGAAACCCGAUAUACGUCAAUACCUCAUUUCUCACAAACUUUGUUUAUAUUCAGAUGUUGUGAAUAG